AUCGCGGAUUCUUCGCCAAAGUACGAUUUAGGUAUCUUUGGGCCGAAAUUAUGUCCGUCAAUGAUCUUCACGAUUCAACUCUAUCUCAUCUAAGGAUAUUUGAUAUUUUAUAACAAAAUACUUCGAUCAAUUUAAUUUCAUUACAAAGCAAAUUUAGAUAUAUCUUCUGUGAGCAUAUACAUAUAUUUAUUUCUUGUUUACUUUGUACUUUGUACAAUGCAUUCAUGACAGAAAUGUGUUUGUUUAACUUUUGACCUUCCAACAGCAUAGAUAGGGAAUACUGAUAGAAAUAAAUUGGCAUGCAGCAGAACUCUCAGCAUACCGAACAUGACUUGUUUAUAAAAAGGAGCAACAGAAAUGCCUCGCAGUCUAUUUAAAUCAUGUAAAUCUCCGCAAGCUCACAACGGAAAAUUCCCUGAGAAGAAUUACGGUCGUGGUGGAAAGUAAAAAUACAUUGAAGAUGGUAGACGUGAAGAAUUCCAAAGAGUACCCACAGUUAGUGAAAUAUAACAAAAGUAUGCGAGGCUAUCGUUUGAACGACCCCCACAUUCUUAAUUUCUUCUAUGAAUAUUCUUGACUUUAUAAAUAUAAUUUUAGCAAGUGUUGAUCCACCUUUGACGAUUGAAUUUCAUGAGAUAUAAUGGACAAUCACCAUAUUGUUGUGAUAAAUUCUGAAUAAAACUAUAAAUAACGAAAAAA
Unclassified non-coding RNA from Pogonomyrmex barbatus (red harvester ant), 699 nucleotides. The record is from RefSeq and is a predicted model, not a curated record. NCBI's taxonomy places the organism in Eukaryota, Metazoa, Arthropoda, Insecta, Hymenoptera, Formicidae.